CCGGACUGGCACCCGAAGCCGAGAAGGCCCGGGAGAACCCGUUCAAAUACCUGCACUUUCACUUACAUGUCACCAAAAAUAAAAUUGGACAGCACGUCGUUGCAUAUAGAAAGGUCUAAUUACCUGUAUCAGCACAACACACACAAAUAUAUAUAUAUAAUACUUGGCCGUCGGGGCCACCACAUAUACAAAUAUAACGUUACUAUAUAAACUUCCAUGACUUUACCCUUCCUUAUGUCUACAAAGCCUCUAGGAUAUACAUGACAUAACUAGGGUCGGGACAAACCCCCGCCCACACGUGACUCAUGUACAAUAACAAAACAUAAGGAACCGACUCGGAAAGCUCCGAAGCAAACUGGAGCUCACCAACAAUAGCUGUAUGACC
This 385-nucleotide long non-coding RNA is filed under the name Capsicum annuum. RNAcentral describes it as "long non-coding RNA (CANN_LNC011256)". The record is from RNAcentral. Lineage: Eukaryota; Viridiplantae; Streptophyta; Magnoliopsida; Solanales; Solanaceae.